AGCGAACGCUGGCGGCAGGCCUAACACAUGCAAGUCGAACGAACUCUUCGGAGUUAGUGGCGGACGGGUGAGUAACACGUGGGAACGUGCCUUUUGGUUCGGAAUAACUCAGGGAAACUUGUGCUAAUAACGAAUGUGCCCUUCGGGGGAAAGAUUUAUCGCCAUUAGAGCGGCCCGCGUCUGAUUAGCUAGUUGGUGAGGUAACGGCUCACCAAGGCGACGAUCAGUAGCUGGUCUGAGAGGAUGACCAGCCACACUGGGACUGAGACACGGCCCAGACUCCUACGGGAGGCAGCAGUGGGGAAUCUUGCGCAAUGGGCGAAAGCCUGACGCAGCCAUGCCGCGUGAAUGAUGAAGGUCUUAGGAUUGUAAAAUUCUUUCACCGGGGACGAUAAUGACGGUACCCGGAGAAGAAGCCCCGGCUAACUUCGUG
This 433-nucleotide ribosomal RNA is filed under the name uncultured bacterium. RNAcentral describes it as "partial 16S ribosomal RNA". It matches the Rfam family "Bacterial small subunit ribosomal RNA", at positions 29 to 507 of the family's 1533-position model. The record is from RNAcentral.